Molecule: ribosomal RNA, 603 nt
Filed under: uncultured marine eukaryote
Lineage: Eukaryota
Description: SSU rRNA
Rfam family: Eukaryotic small subunit ribosomal RNA
Source: RNAcentral
AAAGCUCGUAGUUGAAUUUCUGAGCUCGCCGAGCGGCGGUCUUUGGCCGACCACUCCGCAAGUUCAUCCUCGCCCCUCGGGGCGUCAUUUACUGUGAAAAAAUUAGAGUGUUUAAAGCAGGCUUUAGGCUUGAAUACAUUAGCAUGGAAUAAUGAGAUAGGACCAAGUCGUAUUUUGUUGGUUGCGCGAUUCGGUAAUGAUUAAUAGGGACAGUUGGGGGUAUUCAUAUUUAAUUGUCAGAGGUGAAAUUCUUAGAUUUAUUAAAGAUGAACUACUGCGAAAGCAUUUACCAAGGAUGUCUUCAUUAAUCAAGAACGAAAGUCAGGGGAUCGAAGAGGAUUAGAUACCCUCGUAGUCUUGACCAUAAACUAUGCCGACUCAGGAUUGGCACCCCUUUUUUAACAGGGUGUCAGCACUGUAUGAAAAAUCAAAGUCUUUGGGUUCCGGGGGGAGUAUGGUCGCAAGGCUGAAACUUAGAGGAAUUGACGGAAGGGCACCACCAGGAGUGGAGCCUGCGGCUUAAUUUGACUCAACACGGGGAAACUUACCAGGUCCAGACAUGGUGAGGAUUGACAGAUUGAAAGGUCUUUCUUGAUUCUAUGG